UGGGGAAUUUUGGACAAUGGGCGCAAGCCUGAUCCAGCCAUGCCGCGUGAGUGACGAAGGCCUUAGGGUUGUAAAACUCUUUCGUCGGGGACGAUAAUGACGGUACCCGAAGAAGAAGCUCCGGCUAACUUCGUGCCAGCAGCCGCGGUAAUACGAAGGGAGCUAGCGUUGUUCGGAAUCACUGGGCGUAAAGCGCACGUAGGCGGAUAGUUAAGUCAGGGGUGAAAUCCUGGGGCUCAACCCCAGAACUGCCUUUGAUACUGGCUGUCUCGAGGUCGAGAGAGGUUGGUGGAAUUCCUAGUGUAGAGGUGAAAUUCGUAGAUAUUAGGAAGAACACCAGUGGCGAAGGCGGCCAACUGGCUCGAUACUGACGCUGAGGUGCGAAAGCGUGGGGAGCAAACAGGAUUAGAUACCCAUGUAGUCCCUGAGCGGGCUGGCAAGGCGCAU
This 447-nucleotide ribosomal RNA is filed under the name uncultured bacterium. RNAcentral describes it as "bacterial SSU rRNA". It matches the Rfam family "Bacterial small subunit ribosomal RNA", at positions 355 to 825 of the family's 1533-position model. The record is from RNAcentral.